Vigna umbellata (rice bean) is the source of this 738-nucleotide non-coding RNA. NCBI's taxonomy places the organism in Eukaryota, Viridiplantae, Streptophyta, Magnoliopsida, Fabales, Fabaceae. The record is from RefSeq and is a predicted model, not a curated record.
CAUACAUUUACAACUCCUGCUAUAAUUAUAUAAUUAGAGGAGAGUUAGCACAAAGUAUGAGAAACAACUCAGAGAUGUCAUGAGGUCACUCAAGGCAUGAUCAAGAGGAAUAGUUUGGUUAAUGUUUGAUGUGUAAGAGGGUAUGUGCAUAGGUGAAGAUUGAAAUUGGAAGAAAAAAUGAGGAGGGCAUGUAGGAAAAUAUGGCGAUCAGUGCCAUGAACAAGCAGAAAAAGCUUGCGAACUGAGUCUAGGAAGGAUAUGGAGGAGAUUCUGAGGGCUAAGCUUUCAACUAUUAAGGAAGAGCCAGAAUUGUGUGAGGAGAAUUUGACAUCACCGAUGCAUGUGCGUAUGGCAAAGAAGCAGGUGAAGAAGGUACAAGCAAAAGAUAAAUCAGUACGUUGUUUAGCACCUCAUGUCAAACUGAAACACUCUUAUGUUCUAUUCAUUACAGGGUUUGCCUCAAAAGGCACCUUUGCUGGUUAGCUUCAAUGCUAAUCUCAAUCUUCUCACUCUGUUCCAAUAACAACAUAUAUAAGUCCUCUUCUUCGCUAAGUCCAGAAUGCAAGGAAAACAUCAUUAGAAAGUCCUCGACACAUAGCAUAAAAGUUAAAAAUGUCUGACUAGUGGAUGGAAACAGGGUCACUACCAAGCAUAAUAAUGCAGAGCAAAAAUGUUGAUUAUGUCAAAAGGAAUAAGAAAAUGUUCACUUCUCUAUCAAAAAGGAUGACACUUCUACAA